UACAGAGGUCUCAAGCGUUGUUCGGAUUCAUUGGGCGUAAAGGGUGCGUAGGCGGCGCGGUAAGUCGGGUGUGAAAUCUCGGAGCUUAACUUCGAAACUGCAUUCGAUACUGCCGUGCUUGAGGACUGGAGAGGAGACUGGAAUUUACGGUGUAGCGGUGAAAUGCGUAGAUAUCGUAAGGAAGACCAGUGGCGGAAGGCGGGUCUCUGGACAGUUCCUGACGCUGAGGCACGAAGGCCAGGGGAGCAAACGGG
Molecule: ribosomal RNA, 254 nt
Filed under: uncultured bacterium
Lineage: Bacteria
Description: partial 16S ribosomal RNA
Rfam family: Bacterial small subunit ribosomal RNA
Source: RNAcentral